This 348-nucleotide unclassified non-coding RNA is filed under the name soil metagenome. Its description in RNAcentral is "partial contains 5.8S ribosomal RNA, internal transcribed spacer 2, and large subunit ribosomal RNA". The stretch from base 1 to 120 matches the Rfam family "5.8S ribosomal RNA", at positions 35 to 154 of the family's 154-position model. The record is from RNAcentral.
GAUGAAGAACGCAGCAAAAUGCGAUAAGUAAUGUGAAUUGCAGAAUUCAGUGAAUCAUCGAAUCUUUGAACGCACAUUGCGCCCGCUGGUAUUCCGGCGGGCAUGCCUGUUCGAGCGUCAUUUCAACCCUCAAGCCCCCGGGUUUGGUGUUGGGGAUCGGCUCUGCCCUUCUGGGCGGUGCCGCCCCCGAAAUUCAUUGGCGGUCUCGCUGCAGCCUCCAUUGCGUAGUAGCUAACACCUCGCAACUGGAACGCGGCGCGGCCAUGCCGUAAAACCCCAACUUCUGAAUGUUGACCUCGGAUCAGGUAGGAAUACCCGCUGAACUUAAGCAUAUCAAUAAGCGGAGGA